GUUUGCUGAUUGAAGCUUGUGCGUCUUCGGAUGCGAGUGCCCAGUGGGCCACUUUUGGUAAGCAGAACUGGCGCUGUGGGAUGAACCAAACGACGGGUUAAGGGGCCCGAUGCCGGACGCUCAUGAGAACCCAUGAAAGGUGUUGGUUGCUAUAGACAGCAGGACGGUGGCCAUGGAAGUCGGAAUCCGCUAAGGAGUGUGUAACAACUCACCUGCCGAAGCAACUAGCCCUGAAAAUGGAUGGCGCUCAAGCGUCGACCCCACACCCGUCCGCCGAGGCGGAGAUGCGCAUUAUGCCUCGGCGAGUAGGAGGGCGCGGGGGCGAGCGUGGAAGGUGCCGGGCGUGAGCCCGCCUGGAGCCGCCCCCGGUGCAGAUCUUGGUGGUAGUAGCAAAUACUCAAGUGAGAACCUUGAGGACUGAGGUGGAGAAGGGUUCCAUGUGAACAGCAGUUGAACAUGGGUCAGUCGGUCCUAAGGAAUGUCCGAAAGGAUUUCUGAAGGGGGGACGGUCCCGCCCCAAGACCGAAAGGGAAUCGGGUUAAUAUUCCCGAACCCGGACACGGAGAUCGGUCCCUUCGGGGAAUCUUGCGGUAACGCAAACGACCUCGGAGACGUCGACGGGGGUCCCGGAAAGAGUUGUCUUUUCUUUGUAAGGCUUCGGCUCCCUGGAAUCGGCUCGCCCGGAGAUAGGGAUGUUGAAGCCGUAAAGCACCGCGCCUCUUGUGGUGUCCGGAGCGCUCCCGUCGGCCCUUGAAAAUCCGAGCGAGAUUUGGUGAUUUUCGUGCCGGCCCGUACCCAUAUCCGCAGCA
RNAcentral lists this ribosomal RNA (809 nucleotides) under Simalurius sp. RNAcentral's name for it is "partial large subunit ribosomal RNA". It matches the Rfam family "Eukaryotic large subunit ribosomal RNA", at positions 1085 to 1861 of the family's 3401-position model. The record is from RNAcentral. Lineage: Eukaryota; Metazoa; Arthropoda; Arachnida; Opiliones; Assamiidae.